GGAAGGUUCGCCUAGAGGCCUAUGGCGCCUGCUUGGAAAGCAGGUGAGUGCAAGCUCACGAGGGUUCGAAUCCCUCACCUUCCG
The sequence is a transfer RNA, 84 nucleotides long. It matches the Rfam family "tRNA". Rfam says of the family: Transfer RNA (tRNA) molecules are approximately 80 nucleotides in length. Their secondary structure includes four short double-helical elements and three loops (D, anti-codon, and T loops).